GAGCGGCGGACGGGUGAGUAAUGCCUAGGAAAUUGCCCUGAUGUGGGGGAUAACCAUUGGAAACGAUGGCUAAUACCGCAUGAUGCCUACGGGCCAAAGAGGGGGACCUUCGGGCCUCUCGCGUCAGGAUAUGCCUAGGUGGGAUUAGCUAGUUGGUGAGGUAAGGGCUCACCAAGGCGACGAUCCCUAGCUGGUCUGAGAGGAUGAUCAGCCACACUGGAACUGAGACACGGUCCAGACUCCUACGGGAGGCAGCAGUGGGGAAUAUUGCACAAUGGGCGCAAGCCUGAUGCAGCCAUGCCGCGUGUAUGAAGAAGGCCUUCGGGUUGUAAAGUACUUUCAGUCGUGAGGAAGGUGGUGUCGUUAAUAGCGGCAUCAUUUGACGUUAGCGACAGAAGAAGCACCGGCUAACUCCGUGCCAGCAGCCGCGGUAAUACGGAGGGUGCGAGCGUUAAUCGGAAUUACUGGGCGUAAAGCGCAUGCAGGUGGUUUGUUAAGUCAGAUGUGAAAGCCCGGGGCUCAACCUCGGAAUAGCAUUUGAAACUGGCAGACUAGAGUACUGUAGAGGGGGGUAGAAUUUCAGGUGUAGCGGUGAAAUGCGUAGAGAUCUGAAGGAAUACCGGUGGCGAAGGCGGCCCCCUGGACAGAUACUGACACUCAGAUGCGAAAGCGUGGGGGAGCAAACAGAUUAGAUACCCUGGUAGUCCACGCCGUAAACGAUGUCUACUUGGAGGUUGUGGCCUUGAGCCGUGGCUUUCGGAGCUAACGCGUUAAGUA
Molecule: ribosomal RNA, 777 nt
Filed under: Vibrio sp.
Lineage: Bacteria; Pseudomonadati; Pseudomonadota; Gammaproteobacteria; Vibrionales; Vibrionaceae
Description: bacterial SSU rRNA
Rfam family: Bacterial small subunit ribosomal RNA
Source: RNAcentral